This is a long non-coding RNA of Etheostoma spectabile (orangethroat darter), 110 nucleotides long. RefSeq lists it as uncharacterized. The transcript is spliced from 3 exons. The record is from RefSeq and is a predicted model, not a curated record. Lineage: Eukaryota; Metazoa; Chordata; Actinopteri; Perciformes; Percidae.
GGACACCUUUGCAGCGCAUAAUGAGAUGAGAAGGGUAUGUGUCGACUUGUCUAACUCAGGGGGUAACGAUGAAUGAGAAAAAGUCCCAAUAAGUCGGCAUGUUCCUUUAA